RNAcentral lists this long non-coding RNA (630 nucleotides) under Homo sapiens (human). RNAcentral describes it as "NDUFA6 divergent transcript". The record is from RNAcentral. Lineage: Eukaryota; Metazoa; Chordata; Mammalia; Primates; Hominidae.
UUUUUUUUUUUUUUUUUUUGGAGACGGAGAUUUCCUCUUGUUGCCCAGGCUGGUGGCUCCCCUCCAUUGUGCAAUGAUGCAAUCUCGGCUCACUACAACCUUCACCUCUAGGCUUCAAGCAAUUCUCCUGCCUCAGCCUCCUAAGUAGCUGGGAUUACAGAGACCGGGUUCUUCCAAGUUGUCCAGGCUGGUCUUGAAUUCCUGGGGUGAAGCGAUCCUCCCACCUGGGCCUCCCAAAGUGCUGGGAUUACAGGCCUGAGCCACUGUGACUACCUGAUACGUCUCUUCUCUCUUGCUGCUUUCAAAAUCCUGUCUUUUGUGGGAGGGCAGCUGCCGAGCUCUGGACUUCUACGGGAUCAUCCACUGAGGACAGGAGGACCGGGCCCUCUACAGACACUGCUCUAGUACCAGUCCUGGCUCUUUGCCCCAGGAGCAAAUUAAAAGCUUGACGGCGUCUCCAGGUCUCUGGAUCUCUGUGCAUUGCUCUUCAUGCUUGUUCCUGUUCCUCAGAGGGUACUACCUCAGGCAGCUUCGAUUUUCAAUCAUGGAUCUGAUGACUUUCAACAAACUUUCCUGAGGAAAGUGCUGUUCUCACCAGAAGAGAUCUCAGGACAAAUGUAGACAGCCCUG